This 253-nucleotide ribosomal RNA is filed under the name uncultured bacterium. RNAcentral describes it as "partial 16S ribosomal RNA". It matches the Rfam family "Bacterial small subunit ribosomal RNA", at positions 524 to 776 of the family's 1533-position model. The record is from RNAcentral.
UACGGAGGGUGCAAACGUUGCUCGGAAUCAUUGGGCGUAAAGCGCACGUAGGCGGCCUGUUAAGUCGGGUGUGAAAUCCCUCGGCUCAACCGAGGAAGUGCAUUCGAUACUGGCGGGCUUGAAUAUGGAAGAGGGUCGCGGAAUUCCCGGUGUAGAGGUGAAAUUCGUAGAUAUCGGGAGGAACACCAGUGGCGAAGGCGGCGACCUGGGCCAAUAUUGACGCUGAGGUGCGAAAGCGUGGGGAGCAAACAGG